RNAcentral lists this long non-coding RNA (2460 nucleotides) under Capsicum annuum. Its description in RNAcentral is "long non-coding RNA (CANN_LNC017884)". The record is from RNAcentral. Lineage: Eukaryota; Viridiplantae; Streptophyta; Magnoliopsida; Solanales; Solanaceae.
AGGAAAACAAAAGUGAGGUUACUCCUUUGUUUUCUUUUUUUUUUUCCUUAUCAACUUAGAAAAUCAAAAUAAACCUUAAGAGAAAACAUGAGGUGGCACCUGGAGUACUAGUACUCGACUUCUUCUCCUUCUCUCGACAUCCACGAAUUCAUUAGAAGAGGAAGGGAAGAAAGAAUUUUUAUGAUAAUUUUGAAAUAAUCUUUGAAGGGUGUUUUCAAUAACCUAAAGUUGGAGUUGAAUUUUAAAAGGUAAAUUCUCUACCCCUUUCUUGAAUUUGACUAUAAAUAAGUAUCUUGGAGAUGUUUAAUUUGUAUCUUUGCACUACUACUUGAAUUGGGUUCGUGAAUGAAAAAGGGGGAAAAUGGAGAAUUUUGUUUAAAGAGGGGCUUUUGGGAAUUUCUAUAAAUUGAGUGGUUUAACAUGGAACUAUAUAAGUUGAAAAGUUAAAGGAUUCAUUUGGAAUGCUUAUUAAAGAAUUCGGUUGAUUUUGGGUAUGAUCGAUGAAUAUGGAACUAAACUAUUAAAUGUUCCUAUAAGUUACUAAUGAACGCAUAUGUUAUUCGUGCAGUUAGUGGAUUGCCUUUUUGAUAGUGAAACUUGGUGGUUGGAAAUAUAAAAACUAUACUCCCGCGUGUAGCGUCAUUUGGGGACCUGAAAUACCAUCCUACCUAGUGAAGUCUUUAGGCCAUAGUAUAUAUGUGGAUACCACAUGUAAGGAGUAAAAGUAAAUAGUAAUGGCAUAGUUGUAUUUGUAUAUGUUAUCUAGACGAUCAUUAUCAUAACUCAUAUGUCAUAGGCGUUUAAAGCAUUAUUUGGUAAACAUUAACGACGAGAGGAUACAUAGGUUUGGCUUGGCAUACCACUUGACGUGAUUCUGUGCACAAGAUCGAGAUCAGACCACUAUAGUGAGCCCAACCAUUGGACGUACCCGCCUUUGUGGCAUCAUUUACAUUUGGAGUCAGUUGGAACAUCAUGUAUUGGUUUUCCCUGACUCGAUCCAACAUAUGAAAUAUAUGGCCUGCGGGCAGACGCUCAUAGUGAGCCCCUAGAUGGGGCGUGCCUGGAUACAGACUGCGAUUACAGUUAUACAUGUGGGAUCAUAGCAAUGAGUAUGUGAGCAACAUAUGCUUUAUACUUGCCUUAGAUUGCCUUCGGAAGGCCAUCUUGUGAUCAUUUGUAUGAUUUAUAGGAUAAGUGCAUCGCUUAGACAAAGUAUUGGUUCUAUAUUAUAAUGAACGUUUUUCUAAAUAUUAUAUAUGAUGCUAAUAAAAUUGGUGCAUAAGUUAUUAGUUCAUAUUGUAUAGGUGUUAUUUGUUGGCCCAUACAUUUUUCACUUUACCACUUGACUCAUAUGAGCUUCUGUAUUUGUCUAGCCGUUAUUCUGUCUGCUUUUAACCCGGUACAUGUUGUUUAUGUACUGACGUCUUAGGCCUACUAUGUUUUAAUAAUGCAGGCUCCGAUCCUCCUGAUAGAAGACAUCCACGUUAGGCUCUCUUGCCGUUUUCAGUUGAUAUUUUGAUGAGCUCCAAUUCCCUCUGGACAGAUCUCUGGUUAGGCAUGACGGGCCUAAUGACAACUAGUCAUUUGUAGUAUAGUGUGUUAAACUGACUAGAGGCUUCAUGGAUAUCAUGUAGUAUUGUAUAGUUUCGUUAAUGUAAAUCUCCCGUGUACAUAUGCAAUGCUUAUCGAAUAUCCUACUCGUUAUUAUCUUAUAACCUCGCGUACGUCGUAAAGUACUUGUAGAGUAAGUGUAUACAGUUCUUGUUCGUCAUUACCAUUUUGGGGCUGACAAACUUGGUAUUAGAGCACCUAGGUUCAAGUGUCCUAGGAAGUCUAUGAAGCCAUGUCUAGUAGGACUUUACUUAUCUAUGUGUUGCGCACCACAUUUAUAAUUAAGGGACUACAUGGAUAUUUAAGAAUUUGACCUUUAUAUAUAAUCUAGAUCGUGCAGUAGAGUUAAGUUAUAGGAAGACUUCUGACUCAUAUUCUGUUUAUUUGUGAUACAGACUAUGUCUGCUACAGAAAAGGAUAAAGCAGCCAGCAGGUCGCUACUACACUACUCAGGAGGCAACCACUACCUGGCUAUCUCCUGUAUUGGUGGAUCUGAAUAGGACUCAAGGAAGUUUGUUUGGUUCUAUGCUUCCAGGUUCUCAAACUCCUGGAACGAAAGGACUUACAGGGGUUUAUGCACCUCCAGUGGUGCCAAUGGUACUUCCUAUCUCGCCACCAAGUGCCUCAAACCUAGAUCUUAAGGGAGCAAUAUAGUUGCUUACACAAUUGGUCGCCGCUUAGGCCCAAAGACAGAGUGUGGAUGUACCUAUUGCUACUCAAGGAGGGAUAGCUGAAUUUAGGAUCAAAGAUUUCCUUCGUAUGAACCCACCAGAAUUCACAGGUUCUAAGCUUGCGGAGGGUCCUUAACAAUUCAUUGAUAAGGCUUAUAGAGUUUGUAAGGUAAUGCGG